RNAcentral lists this ribosomal RNA (503 nucleotides) under uncultured bacterium. RNAcentral's name for it is "partial 16S ribosomal RNA". It matches the Rfam family "Bacterial small subunit ribosomal RNA", at positions 28 to 523 of the family's 1533-position model. The record is from RNAcentral.
GAUGAACGCUGGCGGCAGGCUUAACACAUGCAAGUCGAGCGGAGUGAUGGUGCUUGCACUAUCACUUAGCGGCGGACGGGUGAGUAAUGCUUAGGAAUCUGCCUAUUAGUGGGGGACAACAUCUCGAAAGGGAUGCUAAUACCGCAUACGCCCUACGGGAGAAAGCAGGGGAUCACUUGUGACCUUGCGCUAAUAGAUGAGCCUAAGUCGGAUUAGCUAGUUGGUGGGGUAAAGGCCUACCAAGGCGACGAUCUGUAGCGGGUCUGAGAGGAUGAUCCGCCACACUGGGACUGAGACACGGCCCAGACUCCUACGGGAGGCAGCAGUGGGGAAUAUUGGACAAUGGGGGGAACCCUGAUCCAGCCAUGCCGCGUGUGUGAAGAAGGCCUUAUGGUUGUAAAGCACUUUAAGCGAGGAGGAGGCUUACCUAGUUAAUACCUGGGAUAAGUGGACGUUACUCGCAGAAUAAGCACCGGCUAACUCUGUGCCAGCCGCCGCCGUAA